RNAcentral lists this ribosomal RNA (252 nucleotides) under uncultured bacterium. RNAcentral describes it as "partial 16S ribosomal RNA". It matches the Rfam family "Bacterial small subunit ribosomal RNA", at positions 524 to 776 of the family's 1533-position model. The record is from RNAcentral.
UACGUAGGUCCCGAGCGUUGUCCGGAUUUAUUGGGCGUAAAGCGAGCGCAGGUGGUUUAUUAAGUCUGGUGUAAAAGGCAGUGGCUCAACCAUUGUAUGCAUUGGAAACUGGUAGACUUGAGUGCAGGAGAGGAGAGAGGAAUUCCAUGUGUAGCGGUGAAAUGCGUAGAUAUAUGGAGGAACACCGGUGGCGAAAGCGGCUCUCUGGCCUGUAACUGACACUGAGGCUCGAAAGCGUGGGGAGUAAACAGG